RNAcentral lists this ribosomal RNA (478 nucleotides) under uncultured bacterium. RNAcentral's name for it is "bacterial SSU rRNA". It matches the Rfam family "Bacterial small subunit ribosomal RNA", at positions 29 to 516 of the family's 1533-position model. The record is from RNAcentral.
AUUGAACGCUGGCGGCAUGCCUAACACAUGCAAGUCGAACGGCAGCACAGCAGUAGCAAUACUGUGGGUGGCGAGUGGCGGACGGGUGAGGAAUACGUCGGAAUCUGCCCAGUCGUGGGGGAUAACUAGCCGAAAGGUUAGCUAAUACCGCAUACGACCGAGAGGUGAAAGCGGGGGACCGCAAGGCCUCGCGCGAUUGGAUGAGCCGACGUCGGAUUAGCUAGUUGGCGGGGUAAAGGCCCACCAAGGCGACGAUCGGUAGCUGGUCUGAGAGGAUGAUCAGCCACAAUGGGACUGAGACACGGCCCAUACUCCUACGGGAGGCAGCAGUGGGGAAUUUUACGCAAUGGGCGAAAGCCUGACGUAGCGACACCGCGUGAGCGAAGAAGCCCCCUUGGGGUGUAAAGCUCUGUCAGCUGGAACGAAAAAAAUGACGGUACCAGCAGAGGAAGCAUCGGCUAACUACGUGCCAGCAGCC